This 332-nucleotide unclassified non-coding RNA is filed under the name Sebacina sp. RNAcentral describes it as "partial contains 5.8S ribosomal RNA, internal transcribed spacer 2, and large subunit ribosomal RNA". The stretch from base 1 to 71 matches the Rfam family "5.8S ribosomal RNA", at positions 84 to 154 of the family's 154-position model. Lineage: Eukaryota; Fungi; Basidiomycota; Agaricomycetes; Sebacinales; Sebacinaceae. The record is from RNAcentral.
GUGAAUCAUCGAAUCUUUGAACGCACCUUGCACCCUUUGGCAUUCCGAAGGGUAUGCUCGUUUGAGUGUCAUUGUACUCUCACACUUCCAAUCCUUUGGAUUGGGAAUGGUGGACUUGGGUGUUGCCGCUUUACUGUGGCUCACCUCAAAUGGAUUAGUGCAACUCUUGGUUGGACAUAGUACGGCGUGAUAAGUGUCUUCGCCGGCACCCCGCAAGGGGAUGGCUAAUCAUGAGCUCUGUGCUUCAAACCGUCUGCGGACAAUAACUGACAACUUGACCUCAAAUCGAGUAGGACUACCCGCUGAACUUAAGCAUAUCAAUAAGCGGAGGA